AUUGAACGCUGGCGGCAGGCCUAACACAUGCAAGUCGAGCGGCAGCGCGGGGGCAACCCUGGCGGCGAGCGGCGAACGGGUGAGUAACAUAUCGGAACGUACCCUAUCGUGGGGGAUAACACAUCGAAAGAUGUGCUAAUACCGCAUACGACCUGAGGGUGAAAGCAGGGGAUCGCAAGACCUUGCGCGACAGGAGCGGCCGAUAUCGGAUUAGCUAGUUGGUGAGGUAAAGGCUCACCAAGGCGACGAUCCGUAGCUGGUCUGAGAGGACGACCAGCCACACUGGAACUGAGACACGGUCCAGACUCCUACGGGUGGCAG
RNAcentral lists this ribosomal RNA (321 nucleotides) under uncultured Pseudomonadota bacterium. RNAcentral describes it as "bacterial SSU rRNA". It matches the Rfam family "Bacterial small subunit ribosomal RNA", at positions 29 to 351 of the family's 1533-position model. Lineage: Bacteria; Pseudomonadati; Pseudomonadota. The record is from RNAcentral.